RNAcentral lists this ribosomal RNA (484 nucleotides) under uncultured bacterium. Its description in RNAcentral is "partial 16S ribosomal RNA". It matches the Rfam family "Bacterial small subunit ribosomal RNA", at positions 30 to 507 of the family's 1533-position model. The record is from RNAcentral.
AUUGAACGCUGGCGGCAGGCCUAACACAUGCAAGUCGAGCGGAUGAAGGGAGCUUGCUCCUGGAUUCAGCGGCGGACGGGUGAGUAAUGCCUAGGAAUCUGCCUGGUAGUGGGGGAUAACGUCCGGAAACGGGCGCUAAUACCACAUACGUCCUGAGGGAGAAAGUGGGGGAUCUUCGGACCUCACGCUAUCAGAUGAGCCUAGGUCGGAUUAGCUAGUUGGUGGGGUAAAGGCCUACCAAGGCGACGAUCCGUAACUGGUCUGAGAGGAUGAUCAGUCACACUGGAACUGAGACACGGUCCAGACUCCUACGGGAGGCAGCAGUAGGGAAUAUUGGACAAUGGGCGAAAGCCUGAUCCAGCCAUGCCGCGUGUGUGAAGAAGGUCUUCGGAUUGUAAAGCACUUUAAGUUGGGAGGAAGGGCAGUAAGUUAAUACCUUGCUGUUUUGACGUUACCAACAGAAUAAGCACCGGCUAACUUCGUG